GUAGGGAAUAUUGCAAAAUGGGCGCAAGCCCGAUGCAGCAACGCCGCGUGGGCGAUGAAGGCCUUCGGGUCGUAAAGCCCUUUUUGAGGGGAUGAGGAAGGACAGUACCCUCAGAAUAAGCCUCGGCUAACUACGUGCCAGCAACCGCGGUAAAACGUAGGAGGCGAGCGUUAUCCGGAUUUACUGGGCGUAAAGCGCGUGCAGGCGGAUUGGAGAGUUGGAUGCGAAAGCUCCCGGCUUAACUGGGAGAGGUCGUUCAAUACUUCCAGUCUUGAGUGCAGUAGAGGGAAGUGGAAUUCCGGGUGUAGUGGUGAAAUGCGUAGAUAUCCGGAGGAACACCAGUGGCGAAAGCGGCUUCCUGGACUGUAACUGACGCUCAGACGCGAAAGCUAGGGUAGCAAACGG
Molecule: ribosomal RNA, 405 nt
Filed under: uncultured bacterium
Lineage: Bacteria
Description: bacterial SSU rRNA
Rfam family: Bacterial small subunit ribosomal RNA
Source: RNAcentral